RNAcentral lists this ribosomal RNA (403 nucleotides) under Verrucomicrobiota bacterium. Its description in RNAcentral is "Verrucomicrobia bacterium partial 16S ribosomal RNA". It matches the Rfam family "Bacterial small subunit ribosomal RNA", at positions 355 to 776 of the family's 1533-position model. Lineage: Bacteria; Pseudomonadati; Verrucomicrobiota. The record is from RNAcentral.
UGGGGAAUAUUGCACAAUGGGGGAAACCCUGAUGCAGCGACGCCGCGUGAGCGAAGAAGGUUUUCGAAUCGUAAAGCUCUGUCCUAUGGGAAGAUAAUGACGGUACCAUAGGAGGAAGCCCCGGCUAACUACGUGCCAGCAGCCGCGGUAAUACGUAGGGGGCAAGCGUUGUCCGGAAUCACUUGGCGUAAAGGGUUCGCAGGCGGAAAUGCAAGUCAGUUGUGAAAGGCAGAGGCUCAACCUCUGUAAGCAAUUGAAACUGUAUUUCUUGAGAUGUGGAGAGGCAAGUGGAAUUCCUAGUGUAGCGGUGAAAUGCGUAGAUAUUAGGAAGAAUACCGGUGGCGAAGGCGACUUGCUGGACACAAACUGACGCUGAGGAACGAAAGCGUGGGUAGCAAACAGG